GAUUGCUUGUCGGGGUGCCAUUAGUUUGGCUGAGAUGAAACCCGUUGAACCUGAAGGGGCUAAUACCUCCGUAGGAAACAAGUGAGAGUACUAU
This is a non-coding RNA of Methylophaga sp. 41_12_T18, 94 nucleotides long. Lineage: Bacteria; Pseudomonadati; Pseudomonadota; Gammaproteobacteria; Thiotrichales; Piscirickettsiaceae. The record is from Rfam.